This 187-nucleotide ribosomal RNA is filed under the name uncultured bacterium. Its description in RNAcentral is "partial 16S ribosomal RNA". It matches the Rfam family "Bacterial small subunit ribosomal RNA", at positions 340 to 524 of the family's 1533-position model. The record is from RNAcentral.
UACGGGAGGCAGCAGUGAGGAAUAUUGGACAAUGGAGGCAACUCCGAUCCAGCCAUGCCGCGUGCAGGAAGACUGCCCUAUGGGUUGUAAACUGCUUUUAUACAGGAAGAAACCUUGGUACGUGUACCAAGCUGACGGUACUGUAAGAAUAAGGAUCGGCUAACUCCGUGCCAGCAGCCGCGGUAAU